This 253-nucleotide ribosomal RNA is filed under the name uncultured bacterium. RNAcentral describes it as "partial 16S ribosomal RNA". It matches the Rfam family "Bacterial small subunit ribosomal RNA", at positions 524 to 776 of the family's 1533-position model. The record is from RNAcentral.
UACGUAGGGGGCUAGCGUUGUCCGGAAUCAUUGGGCGUAAAGCGCGCGUAGGCGGCCCGGUAAGUCCGCUGUGAAAGUCAAAGGCUCAACCUUUGAAUGUCAGCGGAUACUGCCGGGCUAGAGUCCGGAAGAGGCGAGUGGAACUCCUGGUGUAGCGGUGGAAUGCGCAGAUAUCAGGAAGAACACCAACGGCGAAGGCAGCUCGCUGGGACGGAACUGACGCUGAGGCGCGAAAGCGUGGGGAGCGUACAGG